GCAUUUGAAGCUAACUAGGUAGAAGCGCUGGGUUGAAAUUCCAGAGGACUUGGAUCGUUACCAAGCAGAUGCA
Molecule: transfer RNA, 73 nt
Filed under: Pseudomonas phage PAK_P1
Lineage: Duplodnaviria; Heunggongvirae; Uroviricota; Caudoviricetes; Vandenendeviridae
Also listed under: 4 other names
Rfam family: tRNA
About the family: Transfer RNA (tRNA) molecules are approximately 80 nucleotides in length. Their secondary structure includes four short double-helical elements and three loops (D, anti-codon, and T loops).
Source: Rfam by way of RNAcentral